AACAAAGGAUAAUGGUCUUACAAACAUGUCCCCCUAAGGUGGUGCCAUGAUGUCAUUCUUACAACAUGCAUGUAAGUUACGGAUGAAAAUCCAAGUGUUUACAAAGUAUCACAAAGAGUAAUGGUUGUUGUGUUUGAGUUUGAGAAUGAAGCAAAAAGCUUGGAAGAGGGUGGUUAUGGUUGUUGUGGUAGAAAAAUGGAAGGG
Molecule: long non-coding RNA, 204 nt
Filed under: Lathyrus oleraceus (garden pea)
Lineage: Eukaryota; Viridiplantae; Streptophyta; Magnoliopsida; Fabales; Fabaceae
Description: Pisum sativum (pea) long non-coding RNA (PSAT_LNC019794)
Source: RNAcentral